This 262-nucleotide ribosomal RNA is filed under the name unidentified marine bacterioplankton. RNAcentral describes it as "partial 16S ribosomal RNA". It matches the Rfam family "Bacterial small subunit ribosomal RNA", at positions 59 to 339 of the family's 1533-position model. RNAcentral also lists the same sequence under 1 other name. The record is from RNAcentral.
AAGUCGAGCGAUAAGCACCUUUCGGGGUGUGGACAGCGGCGGACGGGUGAGUAUCGCGUGGGAACCUACCUAUCAGUACGGAACAACAGUUAGAAAUGACUGCUAAUACCGUAUACGCCCUUUUGGGGAAAGAUUCAUCGCUGAUAGAUGGGCCCGCGUUAGAUUAGCUAGAUGGUGAGGUAAUGGCUCACCAUGGCGACGAUCUAUAGCUGGUUUGAGAGGAUGACCAGCCACACUGGGACUGAGACACGGCCCAGACUCC